RNAcentral lists this ribosomal RNA (114 nucleotides) under Acinetobacter towneri. RNAcentral's name for it is "partial 16S ribosomal RNA". It matches the Rfam family "Bacterial small subunit ribosomal RNA", at positions 1 to 113 of the family's 1533-position model. The record is from RNAcentral. Lineage: Bacteria; Pseudomonadati; Pseudomonadota; Gammaproteobacteria; Moraxellales; Moraxellaceae.
UAACUGAAGAGUUUGAUCAUGGCUCAGAUUGAACGCUGGCGGCAGGCUUAACACAUGCAAGUCGAGCGGGCGAGGUUGCUUCGGUAACUGAGCUAGCGGCGGACGGGUGUGACU